AGAGUUUGAUCCUGGCUCAGGACGAACGCUGGCGGCACGCUUAACACAUGCAAGUCGAACGCCCUCGACCUUCGGGUCAUAUGGGGGAGUGGCGAACGGGUGAGUAACACGUGAGAAACCUGCCUCGAAGAUUGGGACAACCACUGGAAACGGUGGCUAAUACCGAAUACCUUCCUACCGUCGCAUGGCGGUUUGAAGAAACGNUCCGGCGCUUUGAGAGGGUCUCGCGGCCUAUCAGCUAGUUGGUGAGGUAAUGGCUCACCAAGGCAUCGACGGGUAGCUGGUCUGAGAGGACGAUCAGCCACACUGGGACUGAGACACGGCCCAGACUCCUACGGGAGGCAGCAGUGGGGAAUCUUGCGCAAUGGGCGAAAGCCUGACGCAGCGAUGCCGCGUGGGGGAUGAAGGCUCUCGGGUCGUAAACCCCUUUCAGCAGGGACGAAAAUGACGGUACCUGCAGAAGAAGCCCCGGCCAACUACGUGCCAGCAGCCGCGGUAAU
This 500-nucleotide ribosomal RNA is filed under the name uncultured bacterium. RNAcentral's name for it is "bacterial SSU rRNA". It matches the Rfam family "Bacterial small subunit ribosomal RNA", at positions 8 to 524 of the family's 1533-position model. The record is from RNAcentral.